GACGAACGCUGGCGGCGUGCCUAAUACAUGCAAGUAGAACGCUGAAGGAGGAGCUUGCUUCUCUGGAUGAGUUGCGAACGGGUGAGUAACGCGUAGGUAACCUGCCUGGUAGCGGGGGAUAACUAUUGGAAACGAUAGCUAAUACCGCAUAACAGUAGAUGUUGCAUGACAUUUGCUUAAAAGGUGCAAUUGCAUCACUACCAGAUGGACCUGCGUUGUAUUAGCUAGUUGGUGAGGUAACGGCUCACCAAGGCGACGAUACAUAGCCGACCUGAGAGGGUGAUCGGCCACACUGGGACUGAGACACGGCCCAGACUCCUACGGGAGGCAGCAGUAGGGAAUCUUCGGCAAUGGACGGAAGUCUGACCGAGCAACGCCGCGUGAGUGGAGAAGGUUUUCGGAUCGUAAAGCUCUGUUGUAAGAGAAGAACGAGUGUGAGAGUGGAAAGUUCACACUG
This 457-nucleotide ribosomal RNA is filed under the name Streptococcus mitis. RNAcentral's name for it is "bacterial SSU rRNA". It matches the Rfam family "Bacterial small subunit ribosomal RNA", at positions 28 to 471 of the family's 1533-position model. Lineage: Bacteria; Bacillati; Bacillota; Bacilli; Lactobacillales; Streptococcaceae. The record is from RNAcentral.